RNAcentral lists this ribosomal RNA (259 nucleotides) under uncultured Leptotrichia sp. Its description in RNAcentral is "partial 16S ribosomal RNA". It matches the Rfam family "Bacterial small subunit ribosomal RNA", at positions 96 to 354 of the family's 1533-position model. The record is from RNAcentral. Lineage: Bacteria; Fusobacteriati; Fusobacteriota; Fusobacteriia; Fusobacteriales; Leptotrichiaceae.
UGGCGGACGGGUGAGUAACGCGUAAAGAACUUGCCCUUUAGACUGGGAUAACAGAGGGAAACUUCUGAUAAUACUGGAUAAGUUAGUAUAUCGCAUGAUAUGCAAAUGAAAGCUACGGCACUAAAGGAGAGCUUUGCGUCCUAUUAGCUAGUUGGUAAGGUAAGAGCUUACCAAGGCGAUGAUAGGUAGCCGGCCUGAGAGGGUGGACGGCCACAAGGGGACUGAGAUACGGCCCUUACUCCUACGGGAGGCAGCAGGA